RNAcentral lists this unclassified non-coding RNA (292 nucleotides) under fungal sp. RNAcentral's name for it is "partial internal transcribed spacer region". The stretch from base 1 to 46 matches the Rfam family "Eukaryotic small subunit ribosomal RNA", at positions 1786 to 1831 of the family's 1831-position model. The record is from RNAcentral. Lineage: Eukaryota; Fungi.
AAGUCGUAACAAGGUUUCCGUAGGUGAACCUGCGGAAGGAUCAUUACCAAAUCCAAAUUUCAACCCCAUGUGAACUAUUGUUUUAGUCUGUCUUUGGGAGAAAUUUCCUUCUUUCUCUUGUUUAUUCAUUAGACUGUAAUAGUUUCUCCCAAUAGAGUCCGGCAUGACUGUAUGGUUGUGUCCAGAUUCGAAAAACACCCCCUUUUUAAAACCACUUGAUUUUUUUCGUUGGAAUUAACUUUUAUUUAAUUUAAUAAAGGACAACUUUUAACGGCGGAUCUCUUGGCUCGUG